Molecule: non-coding RNA, 4875 nt
Organism: Podarcis lilfordi (Lilford's wall lizard)
Lineage: Eukaryota; Metazoa; Chordata; Lepidosauria; Squamata; Lacertidae
Source: the annotation of a GenBank genome assembly
GUGUACUUGAUGAAAAAAAAGAAAGAAAGAAGAGGUGACGAGGCAAAGGAAAUUCUGAUUGAAAGGAAACUCACACGCUAUAUCCAUUUGAGAGCUAACCACAGCUCUUAACACAGCUGCGUAGAUGCAGAGGUAAGAUAGCCUGCUCAGAUAACAGUCUCUUUUCAGAAUGCAAAAUUUUUAAUAUUAUUGUUCUCUGACUACUUUUCAGCAAACCUUUCUAUUUACUUAAGCUGAAGAGGUUUAUUUUCUGAAUGCCUAUUUCUCUUGUUUUGCCACUGAGAAUUAUAUUUCAGGGGUGAUCGUGAUCCCCUGCUUUCCAUAAGUGAAUGGAAAGAAAUCUAUGGGGUUUUGCAGAGGGAAUAUCACAUAGUGUUAAAAGCCUCUUUAUAAUAGCUGAUUUAUGUGCUGGCAUCCUUUAUUACAAAAUGUGAAGUAAAAGUAAGGCUCUCUGUAAAUGGGUGAUGUAAAUGCUACCUGGACAGUCCCCUCCCUGAGUUGUUUAGUGGAGAAUUUAAAUUAUAAUCAAAUUUACCUCCCCCUUUUAACAUUCUACUCUAAUGCUGUCUUGCAAUAAAUAUUCCGAAACUGUAAUACUGGCUUUGUAUUCCAAUACGCCAGUCACAGAUGUUCAUUUCACCAUAAUACCCUAAUAGAGCGAUUUGAUGCACGUCUGUCUGAAAUUCAGAGGGACUUACUUGCCUGCAAGGGGGCAGGAAGUGUACAUAGGGUUGCAGCCUAAGAUUUCUGCAAUACCUUUUUUAGUAUUUUGAAUGAAAGCUACAAUACCAUCCUAUUUCAGAAGACAAUUAUUUAUUAUUUCAUUUUAUUUAUUAGAUUUAUAUACCGCCCUUCAACAUAAGUUCUCAGGGAGGUGCACAGAAUAAAAUACAGGACAAAAACAAGUAAAUAAGCUUUUCAGUCUAUUUAUUAGAUUUAGAUAUAUAAUCUUAAAUGACAGAUAAAGAUGCCACUGGGUUCGCCAGUGAAACAUUUCCUUGCGAUGUAGAAAGAGCAAUUAUUUACCUUAGUAUUUUGUAGCACCCCGUCAAAGUAAUAAACAUUGUCUUUCUCAGCAAUCCCAUAGGCAACACAGUAUCUGUGGUUUUCCCCAUAUUAUAGAUGGUGAAUGCCAAUUGAUAGCAGAACCCAGAAAAUCCAAUGGCUAAACCAAACUCAGAACCCGGAACUUCCAGGUUUAUAGAGGGUGCUCUUAAUAACCACACCAAACUUGUACUUGUUAUGGGAACAUUGGUUCACCUAGAUCAGUAUUCUUAUUUUUUUAAAAAAAACACAAUAAAUUUUAUUUGGUUUUUAAAUAAAUGCAAAUACAAUUGCCUAGACUGAACGCUUUGCAUAAGCCCCUACUUUUACAUAAAUCUGUCUCUGGGUUUUCUGACAAAAAGCUUUUCACAGUCCUAACUGGAGUUGGCAAGGAUCAAACUUGGGAACAUGCACCUAGCCUCCUAUCAGCUGCAAUGCUGUGCUUACCAGGAGGGAGAGGGGUGAAGCGAGAGCCACUGCUGCUCCUGCCUUGCACUGAGCUUCCAACCACCACACCCUUCCUCCCAUCUCUGCCAGUAAGCACUGUGUGAUGCAGUCAAGGGGAGGUCAGGUGUGUGGCAAUACACUUCCUUGCCAGCUGUCAUUGUGGGGACCUGCAGAACAGCUGCUCUAUCCCUGAACUCUGGCACUUAAAUCUCUAUAGGUGGUUCUACAACUGAGAGCCAGUGUGGUGCAGUGGUUAAGAGUUGUGGACUCGUAAUCUGGUGAACCGGGUUCGCGUCCCCGCUCCUCCACAUGCAGCUGCUGGGUGACCUUGGGCCAGUCACACUUCUCUGAAGUCUCUCAGCCUCACUCACCUCACAGAGUGUUUGCUGUGGGGGAGGAAGGGAAAGGAGAAUGUUAGCCGCUUUGAGACUCCUGAAGGGGAGUGAAAGGCGGGAUAUCAAAUCCAAACUCUUCUUCUUCUUCUACAACAAUGUUCUUCAAGGUUUACUCUGGAGAACCCUGAGAUUCCUUGGAAGCUUCUGGGUGGCGGCUGAUGCUUCCUUGAAAGGCAGACUGCUGAACAACCACCUUCUCCUGUAAUGUGCAGCUACGGUGUGUGUGUGUGUGUGUGUUCAGUGACUGCUGGGCCUGAGCCAAAACAGCAGUCCUACUUUGGGACAUUCUGGGUUUUUUUUGUUUUUUUAGAUUUAUUUUUUUUAUUAGGAAUUUAGACAGAGCAUGUUAUAUUAAAACAUAUCAUCCUUAAUUCCUGACUUCCUAUCUCUGGUUUCUCUAUAAAUGCUAUUCUCUGCAUGUUUCAAAAUUGUAUAAAUCCUUAAUUUGUCUAACUGGUUAUUAUCAAUAAAAAGUUUGUGAGUGUUUAUUCAAAGCCUGCCAAGGAUUCCAAUUCACUUUGUUUGAUCUUUAGAUACUUUGUACAGUGGUACCUCAGGUUAAGUACUUAAUUCAUUCCUGAGGUCCGUUCUUAACCUGAAACUGUUCUUAACCUGAAGCACCACUUUAGCUAAUGGGGCCUCCUGCUGCUGCCACGCCGCUGAAGCCCGAUUUCUGUUCUUAUCCUGAAACAAAGUUCUUAACCUGAAGCACUAUUUCUGGGUUAGCGGAGUCUGUAACCUGAAGCGUAUGUAACCCGUAGCAUAUGUAACCCGAGGUACCACUGUAAAAGGUUCCCUUUCAUCCUUAAAGUCACAGUUAUCCUUGUCCGGUAAUUUAUGUGUCAGUUUUGCCAGUUCUGCAUAGUCCAUCAAUUUCUCUUGCCAUAAUUCUUUAUUCGGGAUUUCCUCGUUCUUCCAUCCUUGUGCUAUUAAGACUCUCGCCGCUGUUGUCGCAUACAUGAAGAUAUUUUUCAACUUCUUUGGCAUACUUUGGGACAUUCUGGAUAUUUUUCAAGGUGGGCAGAGUUGGUGAAUUGCUGGGAGGUGUGGCUCCUUCCCUUCCCUUUCUGAAACAAAAUUCUCUAGGGGUUUUGCAAAAGGGAAAGCAGCUCCUGGGAAGGAGGAAUCAUGUGCGGGAGCCGAGGCUGAGAGCCAGAGAUUCUGCUUAGCUGAGCAGGUCCAACUUGAUAUGAUGGGGAGGUUACAGAACGAAGCUGUAGCAGGUAUAAUACGUUCUUUACAGAAGAGGCGCAGAACCUAUGGCCCUCCGAAUGUUCCUGCUCUGCAACUCCCUCACCCCUAGAAAGAUCUGAUGGGAGUUGAAACCCAAUAAUAUCUGAAAGACCACAGGGUUCCUACCCCCUGACUUUCCCACCACAAAGCCCUUUCCCAUUGGCUAUAAAAUACUCCUGUUUGCCUGGGCUAUCUUUCCACCUAGCAGCUGCCUGGAACAAGUGAGUUUCAAAGAGAGUUGGCCACUUAUUGUUUUGUUUUGUUAUGUUUUUACAGCUAUAGAAAAUAAUCCCAGGGAAAUAAAUCAGGCGAUCUCUGCCAUGAAGGUUCAUUGCCAAACGAAGAAACGCAGUGGUAGAAAGCAAUGCUAAUACUCUGUUAUCUUUUUCUGACGUUAAUAGAAAGAGCAGAAGUCAGAGGUUUUAGAGGUAAGACAUUGUGUUAUACUCUUCCUUAACAUGCUUUAAAUGCUGAUUUUCAAAGGUGGUACAGUCCUCUCAGCCCACAUUUUCAUGUUUUGAGACUACAAUUCCCAUCAUCCCUGACCACUGGAUCUGCUAGAUAGGGAUGAUGGGAGCUGUAGUCCCAAAACAGCUGGAGGGACAAGUUUGAGGAAGCCUGGUCUAAUCCAACGCCCUGCAAUGCUCACAGGCCAUUGCAUGUUUUAUGCCUGCAUUGAAAAGUUUGAAAACUGUCAUCAUCGCAGUGGCAGGUUUUUGAUAUUGCUCCCCUGCAUGGGGAGGCCUUCAAGUAAACGACAAGUCAAUGUAUUUUCUUUGACAUUGACUAAACUAUAGAAUUCCACAAUUAGCAACAGCAGUAGCACAGCUUCCAUAUUCCCCCCCGCCAAAGUCCCUUUCCGCAGGAGCAGGAAGUCUGUUGGUUGCCUCCACAAUUUUGCAUCCUUCACAUUGCCUAGGUACUAGUGGAGAAUAUUCAGAUAAAAUUCUGCAAAGUUUUCUAAAGGGGCGAGAAGAAUAAAAAAUCUCAGGGAGCUUACAGACCCCUCCCCCCACUGUUUUAUGGUGGGAUUCAAUCACUUCUUGUCUAAUUUAGGCUGCACAGUUAAAGCUGAUUCGGAGCUGUUAUGAAACAAACCCAGAAUAUUUUCUCUUUUUUGUGAUAAGUGAUGGGAAAAAUGAAGAAAAAUACUUGCUGCAACAUCAUUUAAUCUCCCCACAGUCAAAUGCUUGUUGAACAGGUUGUCUGGAAUUGACUCAAGAAUGGAACUUUUACCUGAUUGCACAGAUCUCUUUAUCUUUUCAGAAUGUCUUCGCAAACAACCUGAUGUGAAGUACCGGGCCAUCAGUGGCCAGGCAUUUGUUGUGUCGUGUGACGUACCACCAGAGAACCCUGCCUCAAUUUUUAACUUUUCUCAUCUUCAUGAAAGCCAGCUUCAGUGGAUCUGGCAAUCAAGAGAUGGGAGAGACCCCGUGCUUCUCAGAAAAGAAACCAUCAACCCCAGAAUACAGGGAAAUGCCCUUUGGUUUAAUCCAAUAACAGUUCAACAUUCUGGAACAUAUGUCUGCAAGAAUAGGUUGGUUGCCAUGACACAUCUCAGUCAGACCUUUUGUGGAUGUGUGCACUAGUAUUUUGAGAAUUCUACACAGAGCCUAUUUUCUUCAUCAUGAUUACUAUUUACCGUAUUUUUCGCUCUAUAAGACGCACCAGACCACAAGACGCACCUAGUUUUUGGAGGAGGAAAACAAGAAAAAAAAUAUUCUGAAUCUCAGAAGCCAGAACAGCAAGAGGGAUC